This is a long non-coding RNA of Microplitis demolitor, 2042 nucleotides long. RefSeq lists it as uncharacterized. The transcript has 3 exons. NCBI's taxonomy places the organism in Eukaryota, Metazoa, Arthropoda, Insecta, Hymenoptera, Braconidae. The record is from RefSeq and is a predicted model, not a curated record.
UACAUACAUACAUACACUCGGACAUCAUCUUGAAUCUAGUCAGAAUAGUUUCCUAGAACCUCAAAAUGUCGACAUCUGUUGGAAUUCCAAUUUUCGCGAAUCGGGGCGAAAGCAAUAACUUCCCAAAAUUUUUGAUAAUCAUCGAUUUUCUUGGCGGGAAGUUAAAAAUAUAUUCUGAUACAGUUGUACUACAAAACAUGGCUUAAAGACCCAGAUUAAAAGAAAUGGUUCGAAACGAUUUGCAAUGUUGAAUGCCCAGAAAAAGGAUGAUUCAAAAGUAUUAAAAGUAUUCAAAAGCAUUAAAAAGUAUUAAAAUUUUUUUUGUUCUAAUCGCUUUAAAUCGUUUCUUUUAAUAAGAAGAAACCAUUUUCUAGUUCAUGAUAAUCAUAAUCAUUUUUACGUAUCAAUAAAGUCAUAUGAACAAUUACAAUCAUAUAUAUAUAUAUAUAUAUAUAUAUAUAUAUAUAUAUAUAGAUUUACACAAAUAUAAGAACUAUAACUCCUACCAUCGUUAUAAAUAAAGGGGCAGUUUUUCGGUACAAGUUUAUUUUUAUCCGGGUUUAAAUUAAUAUUGCUGGUGGUUUCAUGACAGUAAUCCCUAACAAUUGAUUCUACCGAUCCAAGAUAAUAUAUUCUUAUAGUUGUUUUUAUAUCUUAAACUAAUAAUAAUGAGAAUAUUCUAUUAUUUUCACAAUAAUAAUCAAAAGUUUUUAUCAACUAAAAUGAACUGUCGAUGGGAUCAGAUGCCGGUAGGAUCAAUUUGUAAAGAUUACUUGGUGUGGUAUAAAAUUGAUGGGAUGUUGACGGCACACCAUCGCUGGUAUAUCUAUAUAUUAUUAAUGUAUUUAAAGAUUUAUUUAAGCCCGGAUAAAAAUAAAUGUGGUUUGAAAAACUGGCCCUAAAAAAUUCAUGGUUUUAUGAAUAUUAGAUAGAAUAUUUUUUCAUGUUCGAAAAGAAUUUAAUAUUCUUAGUUGACAUGGAAAUACUUACUUUUAGGUUAUGUAAAUAUUAAGUCUCGAAUUAAAAAUAGUUAAUCAAGAAAAUCGAUAAAAGGAACGAUUGACACAAUAAUAUUAAAUAUUCACUGGUUAGAAUUGUUUCAUCCUUCAACCCCACAAAACAUGGAAUUAUUUCUAAUGUUGAUCCUUAUGUCUGUUUGUAACUAUAACUCAUUAAUAUAUGUAAAGUUCUGAAGAUAAAUAAUUCUAUUCAUUUUUUCGCCAGGAGAACUACAUAUUAAACUUUUACCUUGAGAAAUUAAUGAAUAGUUCGACAAAAUAAAAUACAAUACAACAAAACAUUUUGAUAAAUCUAUAGGAAUAUAAUAUAUUGAUUAAAGAGUUAAAUUUCUAAUAAUAAGAUUCCAAUGUAAUCUUUUUAUUAAAAUACGAGUAUCGAAUCGAAAAUAUUUUUCUAUAGAAUCACAAAAACCGAUAACAACAUAAUCGAUAAACCAAAUCAAAAUUGAAAAUCCGAUGGACGAGACUAUUCGCACCCAGGCGUGUAUGCAGCGUAUAAAAUUUUGGGAAGUUAUUGCUUUCGCCCCGAUUCGCGAAAAUUGGAAUUCCAACAGAUGUCGACAUUUUGAGGUUCUAGGAAACUAUUCUGACUAGAUUCAAGAUGAUGUCCGAGUGUAUGUAUGUAUGUACCUCUAGAACUCAAUAAAACGCGUCGAUUGCCACCUCAACCGGUGAAUUCGUUCGAGAGAUAUCGUUGUAGAAAAAAUGGUAAACGUUAUUUUUCGAAAUCAAAGGCAUACAAAAGUAUUUUCGAGCUCGAAGAGCUCAAAAAUGUAUUCUCAACAAUGAUUUCGAACUCAAGGAGCUCGAAAGCAGCGGGAAGUUUUGGGGCUGAUUCGCAGGAUCAACUGACAACAAUUUUUGUUAUUUAUUACAGUGCUUCCGUCUAAACUUAUGAUUCUAAACUUAUCUAUGUGGUCUCAUGAUAUUUAUCGAUGUUCAAGUCAAAUUAGAAUGUAUUUUGAUUUCACAAUACUGUGAAUUGUGAUACUUAAGUAAUAAAUAAAUAUCCAUAAAAAUCAA